CCAAGGAUCACACGCUAUCCAUUACUUGCCACUCGACAAGUCCGCCCUUGAAAAGAUAAAAUCCGCCUCACCAUGUCGAGGCUGUCGUAGCAUCAUCCGCUGGAAAGGAAUUUCCAGGUCAUCCCCAGUCACACAUGUCGGUUGGCCAUCUUUCCCUCGAGAUCUCAUGGUUUCUUGAAUGGAUUUGGGUGCCGGAUGGGGACUCCGGUAGGCAUUCUCCCAACGAUUUGACACCAAAUAUUGCCACUCCGUCUUUUAAUAUCGAUUGAAAUGGUAGAGCGGACGUCGCCACCCAGCCGGUAGGGCCACUAUACCACAUCUUGUUUGACUCGCUCUCGUGAUUCCGAGAAGGCCACUUCCAGCGCGAUGGUCGGCCAUUGGUAAGAUCUCCUUGGAGGAAGAUCUUGUGAAGCCUAUGAGCGGUCAGACUGCUUCUCUCUGCCAGGAAAUUUUACACGUGUGCUGCCUUUGAAAGCGAGAGCGUCGAAGAUACCCAUCUCAUCAGCUUUGGCCGCAAUGCGGUAGCCAAAUACUUCGGUGGCCGCUUCGUGAGGGGUGAAAAGCGUUGUUAGAAUCAUGAGUUGGAGAGUAGGAUUGUAGUCGACUUUUCCUGGAAAUCUUUCUUCAUGAUUUCUAAUUUCAGGGUGGGGGAAAUCUGUGAAGAUAAUGCAGGGACUUCGGGUUUCGUCUAGGAAGCGCCUGCAUUCUUCAUUUACGGCUUCUUCCAAGCAUUGGAACCCUGAAUAUUUGUAUUUGCGGGUUUGUGGAGGAAGGUGUUCCAGGAAUCGACAUCGCGCUUGCAUUUUCGCAUUUACCAUAUUCGCGGGGUAAUUUACAGAUGUUGAAGGGAAAGGAAGGGUGACUGAGUGAUUGUAUUCUCUGUCUCUGUCGAGGUGCUCGUUGAAUAUUCACUGCAUCUCGAAGCAUGGAGAUAUUAAGAAAAGCAAACGAAUGUAUCGAUGAUGAAAGAUUAAACUUAAAUAGUCAGCGGCGAACUUGCGAUCUCGUCAACUGUACACCUUUAUCCUCUAAUACUCUAUUGCAUCCUUGUGCGCG
Molecule: small RNA, 1056 nt
Filed under: Histoplasma capsulatum var. duboisii H88
Lineage: Eukaryota; Fungi; Ascomycota; Eurotiomycetes; Onygenales; Ajellomycetaceae
Description: Histoplasma capsulatum H88 hypothetical RNA
Source: RNAcentral